GAGAUGACAUCUGUGACAUAUAAAGAGAAA
RNAcentral lists this non-coding RNA (30 nucleotides) under Rattus norvegicus (Norway rat). The record is from RNAcentral. Lineage: Eukaryota; Metazoa; Chordata; Mammalia; Rodentia; Muridae.